UUAGAAUAAGAGGAAUUAGGUCUUUAAAGAAGUUCUAUUGAUUGAGGGCCAUAGGCAGGGAAAGUGAAGUUUUUGUAGUAAGUUAUGAAUAUAGGAAUAAAUCUGAAACUUGUAUUAGAAGUUUUAUUAAUAGAUUUGGAAUUAGUCCUAUUUACUUUUACAAUGUAAAUGAAGCUGGCGAGCAGCUUAUUAAUAAUAAUGGAAAAAAUCAUUUUUUUUAGUAUAGGUUUAAGAAUUUAGAUAAAAGAGGUAUUGAUAAAGUUAGAUAUUUGAGUAGGGUUUUAUAAAAGAAAUUUUAAGUAAUUGUACCUUUUGUAUUAUGAUCUGUUUAGUAAGAUAUUUUUAUAAGAGUUGCUCGAAAAAUAAAGAUCUACAAUUAUUGGAGUUAAUGUUGAAUAAUUAUUUUAGUAAUUGUAGGGGUGAAAUUCCUGUCGGUUUAUUAGAUAGCUAGUUUGUUAAGAAAAAAGUUUGGCUUUCUUUAAAGGUUUUUAAAAGUGGAUAGAGAGGGUUAAUCUUUUUUAUUAUUAUAGAGGUAAAAGGAGGCUUAUGAGAAAAUUUUUUGGGCUUGAAAUUAGCUAUAGGGGGAGUAUGUUAUUAUUUAAAGAGGAAUAUAAGUUUUAUUUAAGAAAGUUUUAUUUUUAUAUUAAUACAGACUACCAAAUUUUUUUUUGUCAAGUUUAUGAGUAGGAUUAGUAUUAGAUGAUUUUAAGAGUGAUAAAUUUUAUAAGGGGAGUGGUAUAAGAGGAAAAGUUUAAGAAAAUAAUAUUAUGAAUUCGGCAAUAAUAGUUCCGACUGUUUAUCAAAAACAUUUUUUUCUGUAUAUAUAGAAAAUAAGACCUGCACAAUGAUAAGUAAAUUGCCGUGGUAUUUUGACCAUGCUAAGGUAGCAUAAUCAUUUGGUUUUUAAUUGAGAUCUGGGAUGAAGGGUUGAACGAGAGCUAUGCUUUAUUAUUUUAUAGACAAAAAAUUAUUUUUUAGGUGAAGAAGCCUAAAUGUAGUAAGAGGACAAGAAGACCCUAUCGAGCUUUAUUUAUCUAGUAUUAUUAUUUAUAGGUAAAAUUUGGUUGGGGCAACCAAGGAACUAACUUCUUUAAAAGGGUGAGAGGGAAUAUAGUAAUAUUGAGUGAAAAGUUACCGUAGGGAUAACAGCAUAAUUUUUUUUUAGAGUUCUUAUCGAAAGAAAAGUUUGUGACCUCGAUGUUGGAUUAAGAUUUCCUUAGGGAGUAGAAAUUUUAGAGGGUUGGUCUGUUCGACCAAUAAAAUCUUACAUGAUCUGAGUUCAGACCGGCGUGAGCCAGGUUGGUUUCUAUCCUUUAGAAGAAGGGGACAUAAUUAGUACGAAAGGAUUUUUAUGUUUUUUUG
RNAcentral lists this ribosomal RNA (1362 nucleotides) under Chaetoderma nitidulum. RNAcentral's name for it is "large subunit ribosomal RNA". The stretch from base 974 to 1362 matches the Rfam family "Bacterial large subunit ribosomal RNA", at positions 2048 to 2707 of the family's 2925-position model. The record is from RNAcentral. Lineage: Eukaryota; Metazoa; Mollusca; Caudofoveata; Chaetodermatida; Chaetodermatidae.